GAUGAACGCUGGCGGCGUGCCUAAUACAUGCAAGUCGAGCGAACGGACGAGAAGCUUGCUUCUCUGAUGUUAGCGGCGGACGGGUGAGUAACACGUGGAUAACCUACCUAUAAGACUGGGAUAACUUCGGGAAACCGGAGCUAAUACCGGAUAAUAUUUUGAACCGCAUGGUUCAAAAGUGAAAGACGGUCUUGCUGUCACUUAUAGAUGGAUCCGCGCUGCAUUAGCUAGUUGGUAAGGUAACGGCUUACCAAGGCAACGAUGCAUAGCCGACCUGAGAGGGUGGUCGGCCACACUGGAACUGAGACACGGUCCAGACUCCUACGGGAGGCAGCAGUAGGGAAUCUUCCGCAAUGGGCGAAAGCCUGACGGAGCAACGCCGCGUGAGUGAUGAAGGUCUUCGGAUCGUAAAACUCUGUUAUUAGGGAAGAACAUAUGUGUAAGUAACUGUGCACAUCUUGACGGUACCUAAUCAGAAAGCCACGGCUAACUACGUGCCAGCAGCCGCGGUAAUACGUAGGUGGCAAGCGUUAUCCGGAAUUAUUGGGCGUAAAGCGCGCGUAGGCGGUUUUUUAAGUCUGAUGUGAAAGCCCACGGCUCAACCGUGGAGGGUCAUUGGAAACUGGAAAACUUGAGUGCAGAAGAGGAAAGUGGAAUUCCAUGUGUAGCGGUGAAAUGCGCAGAGAUAUGGAGGAACACCAGUGGCGAAGGCGACUUUCUGGUCUGUAACUGACGCUGAUGUGCGAAAGCGUGGGGAUCAAACAGGAUUAGAUACCCUGGUAGUCCACGCCGUAAACGAUGAGUGCUAAGUGUUAGGGGGUUUCCGCCCCUUAGUGCUGCAGCUAACGCAUUAAGCACUCCGCCUGGGGAGUACGACCGCAAGGUUGAAACUCAAAGGAAUUGACGGGGACCCGCACAAGCGGUGGAGCAUGUGGUUUAAUUCGAAGCAACGCGAAGAACCUUACCAAAUCUUGACAUCCUUUGACAACUCUAGAGAUAGAGCCUUCCCCUUCGGGGGACAAAGUGACAGGUGGUGCAUGGUUGUCGUCAGCUCGUGUCGUGAGAUGUUGGGUUAAGUCCCGCAACGAGCGCAACCCUUAAGCUUAGUUGCCAUCAUUAAGUUGGGCACUCUAAGUUGACUGCCGGUGACAAACCGGAGGAAGGUGGGGAUGACGUCAAAUCAUCAUGCCCCUUAUGAUUUGGGCUACACACGUGCUACAAUGGACAAUACAAAGGGCAGCGAAACCGCGAGGUCAAGCAAAUCCCAUAAAGUUGUUCUCAGUUCGGAUUGUAGUCUGCAACUCGACUACAUGAAGCUGGAAUCGCUAGUAAUCGUAGAUCAGCAUGCUACGGUGAAUACGUUCCCGGGUCU
This 1372-nucleotide ribosomal RNA is filed under the name uncultured bacterium. Its description in RNAcentral is "bacterial SSU rRNA". It matches the Rfam family "Bacterial small subunit ribosomal RNA", at positions 28 to 1381 of the family's 1533-position model. The record is from RNAcentral.